This is a non-coding RNA of Cinara cedri, 284 nucleotides long. The record is from the annotation of a GenBank genome assembly. NCBI's taxonomy places the organism in Eukaryota, Metazoa, Arthropoda, Insecta, Hemiptera, Aphididae.
AUAAUCGCUGGACAUAGGGCAAUAACAGUCGACGAGUGUAGUUUUAAUACGAUUCGAAAGUUCUUAUACGGCAUUUGAAAGUGUUUUUUUUUAAAUUAUUUUUUUUUAUUAUCAUACAAUUUUCAAAGUACUUAUUUCAGCACUUAGAGGGUUUAUAACAAAUAUGUUUGAGCUUUUUUAUCAAUAAAAUAAAGCCGGGGUUAGGAGUACUCCGAUGAUAUCCUAAUCAGGAAUUCUCGCGCAAAUAAAAUAAUAAAAUAAUAAUAAUAAUAACGCCGCGGGUA